This 632-nucleotide ribosomal RNA is filed under the name Citrobacter sp. S-77. RNAcentral describes it as "bacterial SSU rRNA". It matches the Rfam family "Bacterial small subunit ribosomal RNA", at positions 764 to 1404 of the family's 1533-position model. The record is from RNAcentral. Lineage: Bacteria; Pseudomonadati; Pseudomonadota; Gammaproteobacteria; Enterobacterales; Enterobacteriaceae.
AGUAGUGAUCGGAUUAGAUACCCGAGUAGUCCACGCCGUAAACGAUGAGUGCUAGGUGUUGGAUCCUUUCCGGGAUUCAGUGCCGCAGCUAACGCAUUAAGCACUCCGCCUGGGGAGUACGACCGCAAGGUUGAAACUCAAAGGAAUUGACGGGGGCCCGCACAAGCGGUGGAGCAUGUGGUUUAAUUCGAAGCAACGCGAAGAACCUUACCAGGUCUUGACAUCCCUCUGUAGCUCUAGAGAUAGAGUUCUUCGGGACAAGGUGACAGGUGGUGCAUGGUUGUCGUCAGCUCGUGUCGUGAGAUGUUGGGUUAAGUCCCGCAACGAGCGCAACCCCUAUUGUUAGUUGCCAUCAUUCAGUUGGGCACUCUAGCGAGACUGCCGGUAAUAAACCGGAGGAAGGGGGGACGACGUCAAAUCAUCAUGCCCCUUAUGACCUGGGCUACACGCGUGCUACAAUGGCUGGUACAACGAGUCGCAAGCCGGUGACGGCAAGCUAAUCUCUUAAAGCCAGUCUCAGUUCGGAUUGUAGGCUGCAACUCGCCUACAUGAAGUCGGAAUCGCUAGUAAUCGCGGAUCAGCACGCCGCGGUGAAUACGUUCCCGGGCCUUGCACACACCGCCCGUGCGCUA